Felis catus (domestic cat) is the source of this 85-nucleotide transfer RNA. It matches the Rfam family "tRNA". Rfam says of the family: Transfer RNA (tRNA) molecules are approximately 80 nucleotides in length. Their secondary structure includes four short double-helical elements and three loops (D, anti-codon, and T loops). NCBI's taxonomy places the organism in Eukaryota, Metazoa, Chordata, Mammalia, Carnivora, Felidae. The record is from Rfam.
GCCUGGGUGGCUCAGUUGGUUGAGCAUCUGACUUCGGCUCAGGUCACGAUCUCACAGUUUGUGGGUUCGAGCCCCGCAUCAUGUU